Long non-coding RNA from Dicentrarchus labrax (European seabass), 209 nucleotides. RefSeq lists it as uncharacterized. The transcript is spliced from 2 exons. Lineage: Eukaryota; Metazoa; Chordata; Actinopteri; Moronidae. The record is from RefSeq and is a predicted model, not a curated record.
UGGAAAUGUAGGAGCUGAGAGAAGCUUUUUGUGUUUGGGGACAAUGUAAAAAUAGGUGAGUGUACCUUUAAGUUCACAUUAGCUCCAGACAGGCCAAAAAUAAAUGCAAAUAAUGAAGUCAAAUAAACUGAGAUAUUUAGCAUAAUUUAUUCAGGGAAAGUAAAAAAUAAUCAGGUCUGAGGUUAACUUACACCAAUAAAUGUUUGAAA